CCUGGCUCACGUUGAGCGCUAGCUACAGGCUUAACACAUGCAAGUCGAGGGGCAGCAUUUCAGUUUGCUUGCAAACUGGAGAUGGCGACCGGCGCACGGGUGAGUAACACGUAUCCAACCUGCCGAUAACUCGGGGAUAGCCUUUCGAAAGAAAGAUUAAUACCCGAUGGCAUAAUUAGACCGCAUGGUCUUAUUAUUAAAGAAUUUCGGUUAUCGAUGGGGAUGCGUUCCAUUAGGCAGUUGGUGAGGUAACGGCUCACCAAACCUUCGAUGGAUAGGGGUUCUGAGAGGAAGGUCCCCCACAUUGGAACUGAGACACGGUCCAAACUCCUACGGGAGGCAGCAGUGAGGAAUAUUGGUCAAUGGACGAGAGUCUGAACCAGCCAAGUAGCGUGAAGGAUGACUGCCCUAUGGGUUGUAAACUUCUUUUAUAUGGGAAUAAAGUUUUCCACGUGUGGAAUUUUGUAUGUACCAUAUGAAUAAGGAUCGGCUAACUCCGUGCCAGCAGCCGCGGUAAUACGGAGGAUCCGAGCGUUAUCCGGAUUUAUUGGGUUUAAAGGGAGCGUAGGUGGACAGUUAAGUCAGUUGUGAAAGUUUGCGGCUCAACCGUAAAAUUGCAGUUGAUACUGGCUGUCUUGAGUACAGUAGAGGUGGGCGGAAUUCGUGGUGUAGCGGUGAAAUGCUUAGAUAUCACGAAGAACUCCGAUUGCGAAGGCAGCUCACUGGACUGCAACUGACACUGAUGCUCGAAAGUGUGGGUAUCAAACAGGAUUAGAUACCCUGGUAGUCCACACAGUAAACGAUGAAUACUCGCUGUUUGCGAUAUACAGUAAGCGGCCAAGCGAAAGCAUUAAGUAUUCCACCUGGGGAGUACGCCGGCAACGGUGAAACUCAAAGGAAUUGACGGGGGCCCGCACAAGCGGAGGAACAUGUGGUUUAAUUCGAUGAUACGCGAGGAACCUUACCCGGGCUUAAAUUGCAUUUGAAUAAUCUGGAAACAGGUUAGCCGCAAGGCAAAUGUGAAGGUGCUGCAUGGUUGUCGUCAGCUCGUGCCGUGAGGUGUCGGCUUAAGUGCCAUAACGAGCGCAACCCUUAUCUUUAGUUACUAACAGGUCAUGCUGAGGACUCUAGAGAGACUGCCGUCGUAAGAUGUGAGGAAGGUGGGGAUGACGUCAAAUCAGCACGGCCCUUACGUCCGGGGCUACACACGUGUUACAAUGGGGGGUACAGAAGGCAGCUACCUGGUGACAGGAUGCUAAUCCCAAAAGCCUCUCUCAGUUCGGAUCGAAGUCUGCAACCCGACUUCGUGAAGCUGGAUUCGCUAGUAAUCGCGCAUCAGCCAUGGCGCGGUGAAUACGUUCCCGGGCCUUGUACACAACGCCCG
This 1384-nucleotide ribosomal RNA is filed under the name uncultured bacterium. RNAcentral describes it as "bacterial SSU rRNA". It matches the Rfam family "Bacterial small subunit ribosomal RNA", at positions 18 to 1396 of the family's 1533-position model. The record is from RNAcentral.